GAGUGCUAACUUAUAUUUAAAGUAUUAGAUUUUUAAUCUGAAGAAGGGUUUCCGCAUUCUG
This 61-nucleotide transfer RNA is filed under the name Heterakis beramporia. Its description in RNAcentral is "tRNA-Lys". Lineage: Eukaryota; Metazoa; Nematoda; Chromadorea; Rhabditida; Heterakidae. The record is from RNAcentral.